This is a non-coding RNA of Gasterosteus aculeatus aculeatus (three-spined stickleback), 961 nucleotides long. NCBI's taxonomy places the organism in Eukaryota, Metazoa, Chordata, Actinopteri, Perciformes, Gasterosteidae. The record is from RefSeq and is a predicted model, not a curated record.
UGGACAACAGCUCAGAGUCAUGUGACCUCCAUGUGACCUGCAGGACUCACAACUCUAACAUCAGCAGCACUUUCAGAUGUGUCGACUGGUUCUGCAGUCAGGAGGGAGGAGAGCGAUCAGAGUCACGACCUCUGGGGCUCUCUCCAGGUCUACCUGUUAAACAACGUGAUCAACUGUAACCAUAGCAACCAGGUUCACUGGACCCACGACUUCAAUACUGCUAAACACCUUUGCUCCAAACAUGCUGGUUCCGUGUUCCUGGUGAAGAUGGUGGUGUUCUCUGUGGGUCUGAUCAUCAUGGUGUCUGCCGUCAUCAUUGUUCACCUCGUGGACUUCAAGAAGCACCAACAAAGAAAUGGAUGUCAAACACGUCACGCUGCCCGGGAGGAAAGCUCCCACUUAAAGGUCACCUUCUAAACCCGUGAUGAUGUUCCACUGACUCACAGCUGGUGGCAGCAACACACCAGGAGAAGAAAAGAGGAAGACGAGCGCAGAGCAGCAAACAUGGACGCAAACUAUUUAGGAUUUAAAGGAUUUAUGAAUUCAGCUUUGCAGAUAUUUCCUGGUGAAGGAAAGACAUUAAAAACGUGACUCAAAGAUGCAUUUUGGCAAGAAAAAACUUCAUGUAAAAAUCAUAGUUCACCUUUAAAACAAAUGCUGAUAAUCCAUUGAUUGUACACAAUAUAUCACACACACAAGACCAUGUCAAUAUGUUUUCGGUGAUUGUUAUCUUGAAUGUUUAAUCAAGACCAACUAUAUUUGAGCAAAUAACCUUAAAUACACUGUAUAAUACUGCAUACGGUCCCAUUGACCAAUAAAUACAUUUCAUAUGUGUCUGCAUGUACAGUAUUUACUUGUACAUAAUUCUGUUCAGCAGGUUUUGUUUUGGGUGGAAACUUAGAACUUGUUGAAGCUUCAUACUGAUCUUGUGUUUCAGUGAUUAAAAGGUCACGUGUUCCUC